This is a long non-coding RNA of Anolis carolinensis (green anole), 6483 nucleotides long. RefSeq lists it as uncharacterized. The transcript has 2 exons. Lineage: Eukaryota; Metazoa; Chordata; Lepidosauria; Squamata; Anolidae. The record is from RefSeq and is a predicted model, not a curated record.
GGCGUCUACGGACAAUGGCAGCUCUUCGGCUUAGAAAUGGAGAUGAGCACCAACCCCCAAAGUCGGGCACAACUAGACUUCAUGUCAGUGGAAAUCCUUUAUCUUUACCUACCACACAAUUAAACAUGAAACAACACUUUCAAACCAGGAAUAGAUUUUUUCCAAAUUUUAUUACAUACUGUUAGCAACAGAAUGGCUCUGCUGCUGACUUUUUCAUACCAGGGCAGACUUUUAGCUAGAGUACCUCUUGGAUAUUGUGACUUCUUCCUCUUUCCUUUGACACCCCACCCCCAGCAACUGUCUCCUACCCAUCCUUUCGCUAGAACAGAUGGCCUGAAGCCGCCACCAUCGGUUCUCAAGCUAUUUUCCAGCAGUAGGGUACAAAUGAAUUUGCUGCUGCUCCAGUCCCAUGCUGUUUCCUCUAUGGCAACUCAGCAAGGAAAAGGACAACAUUCAAGGGAGUGGGAGAUAUACUUCUCCCUAAAGGGGUUUUCUGAUGACAUCACUUUUAUCCUUUUAUCAAAAGUUUUCUCUUUACUCGAUUGAGAGGGAGUAAGAAGAUGGGGCCUAAAGUAUUGCUGUGUGUAUGUGCAGGGCGUUAUGUGGGUUUUUUUGUCACACAAACCCCCAGAGUUUUCUAGGUGCUAAUUUGCAUGACAUACUUUUUUUUGAGAAAUUGCAAGUCACUUCUGGUGUGAGAGAAUUAGCCAUCUGCAAGGACGUUGCCCAGGGGGCGCCCAGAUGUUUUGAUGUUUCACCAUCCUUGUGGAAGGCUUCUCUCAUGUCUCCACAUGGAGAUCUGAAGCUGACAGACGGGAGCUCACUGCACUCCCCAGACUCAAACUGCCGACUUUUCAGCCAGCAGUCCUGCUGGCAUAAGGGUUUAAUCCACUGUGCCACCGGGGGGCAAUGGGUUAACACAUAUAACACAUAAUUAUAAUGUUAUGCUUCCCUAAUAACUGGCAAUGGGGUAUGCAUUAUAGGGAGGACCCAUUUGGAUCCUCUGCUAAGGAACUCCUUAGCGCCUCUAACCAAACUACAACCCCACUCCAGGUUUCUAUAAGAUGCAUUUGUGGCUGUUAAAGUGGAAUUAGAGUGCUACAGUUCUGUAGCAUGGAAAUCUGUAUAUAGAUUUCCUUUGAGCGCAUACUGUUUUGCCAUCGUAGACAGCUGUCUUUGCUCAGGACUGAUUUAAGACAUGCCAGAUCCUCAACUUGAAGAGGCCCUAUAGCAUUACUUCUUCCCUUCCAAAAUCUGUGCCACUCUAACAGAUGGAUGAUUGACUAACUGAUUGUGUUUAGAGGCCUUUUCAUAAUCCAAGGCUAUAAACUGGAGUUGAUUUAGCUUGUGCCCAACUCCAACAGCUCCAGUGCUUUGGUUGGACUGGUGUGAUCGAGGUGACCUCCCCUCCAGGACUUUGUAAAAGAUAGUUCAAAAAUCAAGACUUUAUGUUCUAUAUUCCAUAUAUUUAUAGUAGAAGGUGAUUGGGACUUUUUACUGGAGUUUACUGUGGAUUAUCCCUGCACUCUGAGGCAAGAGAUAACAACUUCAUGGAUUGUGAAAUCAUGUUGCUUGAACCCCACUUCUAUGUUGAAUUCCCCAGAUGUUGUGAACUUCGUUCUGAUCAAAUGUUUCCUAUUACUUAUAUCGAUUGUUUAUAUCAUUCAUGAUUCCCCUUUAUGCAAUGUCACCCACCUUUAUGGAUUCUCCUUUAUUUUCUUGAAAUGUACCUAUCUGCCUAUAUGUAUUUAUACUCUUUGGGAUCCCCGGAAAAUAUGUGUUUUUCCUAGCUGGGUUUAUAUUCCAACUUUAUUUUUAAUUUUCAUUUUAUCCCAUAUAAUUGGCAGAUCAUGAAAUCAAAUGGGAAAUAUUAUGACCCCAACCUGAACUCUAGCCCCAUGACUCAGACCUCCCUUCCCAAAAACAAAAGGAUAAUCUGCCACAGUUUAAUCCCCUCUCAUUCCGACCGCAUGGACAAUAUAGGGCGAGUCACCAAACUCCUAAAGGUGACUCGCCCCCAAGGCAAACAUUGUCACAUCUCAGGCCAGGACGCCGCAGGAAGGCACCCUGUGGGGCCGUCAAUGAUGGCUCAUCACCACCCACUUCCCGUCUGACACCCCAAAGACAUAUCUAAAAUCUGUGAACGUGACAGGACCCCGGACAUCCUUGAUGGGUGUCAUUAAUUCCUUUAGAAAUCGGCUGGGCCAGAAUUAAUCAGAUAUUUCCUGUCCGGUCACCUCUUUGUCUCAAUAGCUCCCGCCUCCUCCUCUCUGAUUGGCCCGAAUAGGGACAAUAAGCGGCUCCCCAUUGGGCCAGCAGAGCAAGGCGGGAAACGAAAGCCCGCCUCAUUCAACCUCUCAGCCUAUCCGCGAUCAGAUGGGCAGGGAAGCGGGGCGGGAAAUUCAAAGGGCUGUCAGACCAAAACAUUGUAUAAAUAUGGCUUUAUUUGAAACAUAUGUUACGCUAGUAGAUUGAAUGAUCACUAUUAGCGUCCUUUUCAGCUGAAUUGCUCAAUAAAACUCCUUGGCGGAUUUUCCUUCAACGUGGCGGACCUUCUUCAUUUCAGGCUUCAGGUUGUAUUGCGGCUUAUAUUCUUCUUUUGGCUUCGCCAAGGUCCGUUCCCUCAGGACCGGAUCGGCUUCCUUCUAAAGGGGCCCGAUCCCCCAAACGCGGUCGACAACAUAAUUUGGCUUUACCACGAAGGGACUUGCUUGGAAGUUCCAAAGAUCAAUUUUUUUAGGCUAAAAUUCCAAGCGGCGACCUUGGUCCAGAUAUUCUGGGACAGGUUGGGGAGAGAAACGGCUGCAAGGAGGGCCCUCCGACCAACAAUUUGACCUCAUUUCACAUCCAAAUUUCUCUGGCAGUCCCUUUCUCUCUCUAGAUCUGAUUCAGGGUACUGAACAAAGGAGCCAGAUAGGAGGAAGCAGAUUUUUAGCUCCUCGAAGGAAAGGCGCCAACGUGAAACAGGGGACGCCCUGUAAAAAUAAAAGGGAACCGGCCCCGUUGUUGAGACCCAGGUGGGAGGAGUCCUGGAGGUAUUGCACUUCGGAUCAGGGCUCGGUAACAAAUUCCUGGUGAAACGCGGGAAAAUCUGGCACCCGGGGGGCGUGUGAGAACAGUCUGGCUUGUAAGAUUACAGGUUCAAGAAUCGCGGGGUAGGGGAACAGUUGUGUUCCCGGGGCACCUGCGGAUUCCACGAACGCCAGCCAUCCAGUCUUGGUGAAGGGAACUCUCGGUAGGACGAGCUGACCUGGCCGGUUGGGUGAGUCGUUACUCCGUUAACUGUCAGGUACUGGGCAGGGGUUGAGCCAAGAAUGGGUGUUUGUUCAAGCACGUCUAGGGUGUCCCACCCCAGCAGACAUCCCCAGGGAUUCUCCUUUGGGCAAGAUCCUGGCCAAUUGGGGUGGGCUUUGCAUCAAAAAACAUGGUGCAGGCCAGGUUGGGCUAACUCAGAGCACGUAAGUGGCCCCUUGUGGCCCUUGAAGGGGGAACAGCUUGCCCCCCGUUUGAGUCACCGAAUUCGGAGUGUUGACCUAAGGUGACUCACCAUGGGGAGGGCAAGUGGUCCCAACUUGCUUAUGCUGCAAUGUUCAUGGCCCUAAGCCAGGGAGAGAAUCGGAGGGGGGGAGGGGGGCCCACGUCUUCCCAUGCAGAGAUUUGGGCUCCAAAAACAGCCCCCCAAAGAUUCCCCCCUAGACCCUUUUCCCCUUACCCCCUCCUCCAGAGGAUUUUCUGGACACAUUUGCUUGCCUUCUCCCCACCCCAUCAGCCCCCUCCUCCAAUCCCCAUCCCCACCUUUUCUCCUCACCCUGAGUCCUACACUGAUCCAGGACUCCCAAAUUGGCCUUCCAAGGGAACCCUUACUUCAGGGAUCCCCCCCCCCCAAGAAAUUCCCCUCCAGAGAGUUCAGCCCAGUCUAACGUGAAGGAGGGCUCCCAGCCCCCUCCCCUCUCACCCCGAAACACACCUGAUCCAAAACACUGUUCACAUUGAUUAAAUUUUGUGUGUUUAUGUAAUGUGUGGGCUGUAAACUCUUCUCUACUCACCCCUUUGCCUUAAAAGCCACCAGUGAUAUAUAGUUUUCUGGGAAGGAGGGCUGGAAUGGACUAGCUUAGUGCUAUGCUCCUUUUUCAAAGCUCCCCCCCCCUUCCUUCCCAGCAUCCCCAUUUCUCCUUAUAAACAUUCAGUCAAAAUCCUGGUUUACUUUUAUAGUGAAGGCACUCUUUCACUCUCCACAGUUCCCCAACAAUCUCCUUUCUUCCUUUCGGGUCCUUCUCCCUCCCUUUCCCUGAGUGCAUGCGUGUGAAUGUUUUAAAAAAAUCCCUCUAACUGCCUUUAAUUAUGAGGAGGGCAUUAGAGUCCAGGGGACCUUCCAGGCACAGCUGAAGAGAUCCAGAGGACCGGACCCAACCACCUGACUGAGGACAUCAGACCAGACUGCAAGACCCAUAAUCCAUACCUGCCACCAUGAACAGUUCUAAGACCUGGGUAGGGGCUCUCGGAGUGCGCUGUGGAUUUCAUGCAGCAGCUAGAACCCAGAGGCCAUUGGAGAUGGUCCUGUGAGGGCUUUUAUGGCCAGACCACCGUAUGGUGCCCUCCAGCUGGCCUGGUUCUGCCCUGGCAAAGGGCUACUGAGUGCAGGUCUGCCUUUGACGCUGCCAAGGAGGCCCUCAUGACAUCACCAGGGGACAGAAUUGGCCGCCAUGGCAGAAGAUGUCCCAGAAGAAAUGAACAGGAUUCUACCAGUGACCACCAUGAGGGAAGGAUGUUCCACUUUCACCAGAGCUGUGCCAAAGAAGGACCCCAGGACUGCUGGAGCCCUCACAAGGUAUGAGUGACUUCCCUGACUAACCCCACCACGGGAGGGAGGGGGGGCUUAUAAUCUGUCCUUAGUUUCCCUAGGCACUCUCUCCUUUCCGUCUCCUCUGUUGGAGUGCUGGACCUGCCUGCAGUCACCAGGAGGCGCCGUGCUGUGAGGCGCAGAAGCUGUGCCCAGUUGCCCCCAGCUGCCAACUACAAAGGGGGGCCCAAGCUGCAGCCAAGAAAAGGCAGCCAAAUGGGAGUACUGCAUCACAGCCUCCAUCAUCCCCAGCCCUCACCACCUCCACCUUCAUGCUCCAUUUCCCAUGACUCCAGACCAAGGGACAUCUGUUUCAACACCAUGGGAUCACCCACCACUGACUGAACCUCAGCUUUCACCUCUUCAAGCUCCUGCCCUCCAACAAAAAGGCACAAUCUGAUCUACCAAGGCAGAGGCCCUGCAUGCAGUGAAAUGUCGGGGCUUUGGGAAAUGUUCAUAGCCAUUUCCAAGCCCCGAAGGGGGGAAAAUGUGAUCGAGGUGACCUCCCCUCCAGGACUUUGUAAAAGAUAGUUCAAAAAUCAAGACUUUAUGUUCUAUAUUCCAUAUAUUUAUAGUAGAAGGUGAUUGGGACUUUUUACUGGAGUUUACUGUGGAUUAUCCCUGCACUCUGAGGCAAGAGAUAACAACUUCAUGGAUUGUGAAAUCAUGUUGCUUGAACCCCACUUCUAUGUUGAAUUCCCCAGAUGUUGUGAACUUCGUUCUGAUCAAAUGUUUCCUAUUACUUAUAUCGAUUGUUUAUAUCAUUCAUGAUUCCCCUUUAUGCAAUGUCACCCACCUUUAUGGAUUCUCCUUUAUUUUCUUGAAAUGUACCUAUCUGCCUAUAUGUAUUUAUACUCUUUGGGAUCCCCGGAAAAUAUGUGUUUUUCCUAGCUGGGUUUAUAUUCCAACUUUAUUUUUAAUUUUCAUUUUAUCCCAUAUAAUUGGCAGAUCAUGAAAUCAAAUGGGAAAUAUUAUGACCCCAACCUGAACUCUAGCCCCAUGACUCAGACCUCCCUUCCCAAAAACAAAAGGAUAAUCUGCCACAGUUUAAUCCCCUCUCAUUCCGACCGCAUGGACAAUAUAGGGCGAGUCACCAAACUCCUAAAGGUGACUCGCCCCCAAGGCAAACAUUGUCACAUCUCAGGCCAGGACGCCGCAGGAAGGCACCCUGUGGGGCCGUCAAUGAUGGCUCAUCACCACCCACUUCCCGUCUGACACCCCAAAGACAUAUCUAAAAUCUGUGAACGUGACAGGACCCCGGACAUCCUUGAUGGGUGUCAUUAAUUCCUUUAGAAAUCGGCUGGGCCAGAAUUAAUCAGAUAUUUCCUGUCCGGUCACCUCUUUGUCUCAAUAGCUCCCGCCUCCUCCUCUCUGAUUGGCCCGAAUAGGGACAAUAAGCGGCUCCCCAUUGGGCCAGCAGAGCAAGGCGGGAAACGAAAGCCCGCCUCAUUCAACCUCUCAGCCUAUCCGCGAUCAGAUGGGCAGGGAAGCGGGGCGGGAAAUUCAAAGGGCUGUCAGACCAAAACAUUGUAUAAAUAUGGCUUUAUUUGAAACAUAUGUUACGCUAGUAGAUUGAAUGAUCACUAUUAGCGUCCUUUUCAGCUGAAUUGCUCAAUAAAACUCCUUGGCGGAUUUUCCUUCAA